Molecule: ribosomal RNA, 253 nt
Filed under: uncultured bacterium
Lineage: Bacteria
Description: partial 16S ribosomal RNA
Rfam family: Bacterial small subunit ribosomal RNA
Source: RNAcentral
UACGAAGGGGGCUAGCGUUGCUCGGAAUGACUGGGCGUAAAGGGCGCGUAGGCGGGUGGCACAGUCAGAUGUGAAAUUCCCGGGCUUAACCUGGGGGCUGCAUUUGAGACGUGUGACCUAGAGUGAGGAAGAGGGUCGUGGAAUUCCCAGUGUAGAGGUGAAAUUCGUAGAUAUUGGGAAGAACACCGGUGGCGAAGGCGGCGACCUGGUCCUUGACUGACGCUGAGGCGCGAAAGCGUGGGGAGCAAACAGG